UACCGAGGUCCCAAGCGUUGUUCGGAUUCACUUGGCGUAAAGGGUGCGUAGGUGGUAGGGUAAGUCGGAUGUGAAAUCUCCGAGCUCAACUCGGAAAUGGCAUUGGAAACUACCCUGCUAGAGGGUCGGAGGGGGGACUGGAAUACUUGGUGUAGCAGUGAAAUGCGUAGAUAUCAAGUGGAACACCAGUGGCGAAGGCGAGUCCCUGGACGACUCCUGACACUGAGGCACGAAAGCUAGGGGAGCAAACAGG
This 253-nucleotide ribosomal RNA is filed under the name uncultured bacterium. RNAcentral describes it as "partial 16S ribosomal RNA". It matches the Rfam family "Bacterial small subunit ribosomal RNA", at positions 524 to 776 of the family's 1533-position model. The record is from RNAcentral.